RNAcentral lists this ribosomal RNA (495 nucleotides) under uncultured bacterium. Its description in RNAcentral is "partial 16S ribosomal RNA". It matches the Rfam family "Bacterial small subunit ribosomal RNA", at positions 28 to 507 of the family's 1533-position model. The record is from RNAcentral.
GACGAACGCUGGCGGCGUGCCUAAUACAUGCAAGUAGAACGCUGAAGGAGGAGCUUGCUUCUCUGGAUGAGUUGCGAACGGGUGAGUAACGCGUAGGUAACCUGCCUGGUAGCGGGGGAUAACUAUUGGAAACGAUAGCUAAUACCGCAUAAGAGUAGAUGUCGCAUGACAUUUGCUUAAAAGGUGCAAUUGCAUCACUACCAGAUGGACCUGCGUUGUAUUAGCUAGUUGGUGAGGUAACGGCUCACCAAGGCAACGAUACAUAGCCGACCUGAGAGGGUGAUCGGCCACACUGGGACUGAGACACGGCCCAGACUCCUACGGGAGGCAGCAGUAGGGAAUCUUCGGCAAUGGACGGAAGUCUGACCGAGCAACGCCGCGUGAGUGAAGAAGGUUUUCGGAUCGUAAAGCUCUGUUGUAAGAGAAGAACGAGUGUGAGAGUGGAAAGUUCACACUGUGACGGUAGCUCACCAGAAAGGGACGGCUAACUACGUG